UGGGGAAUCUUGGACAAUGGGCGCAAGCCUGAUCCAGCCAUGCCGCGUGAGUGAAGAAGGCCUUCGGGUUGUAAAGCUCUUUUUGUCAGGGACGAUAAUGACGGUACCUGAAGAAUAAGCCCCGGCAAACUUCGUGCCAGCAGCCGCGGUAAUACGAAGGGUGCAAGCGUUACUCGGAAUUACUGGGCGUAAAGCGUGCGUAGGUGGUUUGUUAAGUCUGAUGUGAAAGCCCUGGGCUCAACCUGGGAAUUGCAUUGGAUACUGGCAGGCUAGAGUGCGGUAGAGGAUGGCGGAAUUCCCGGUGUAGCAGUGAAAUGCGUAGAUAUGUGGAGGAAUACCGAUGGCGAAGGCAGCCCCCUGGGCUAACACUGACGCUCAUGCACGAAAGCGUGGGGAGCAAACAGGAUUAGAUACCCCUGUAGUCCCUGAGCGGGCUGGCAAGGCGCAU
This 448-nucleotide ribosomal RNA is filed under the name uncultured bacterium. RNAcentral's name for it is "bacterial SSU rRNA". It matches the Rfam family "Bacterial small subunit ribosomal RNA", at positions 355 to 825 of the family's 1533-position model. The record is from RNAcentral.